GAAAUGCGAUAAGUAAUGUGAAUUGCAGAAUUCAGUGAAUCAUCGAAUCUUUGAACGCACCUUGCGCUCCUUGGUAUUCCUUGGAGCAUGCCUGUUUGAGUAUCAUGAAAUCUUCAAAGUAAAUCUUUUGUUAACUCAAUUGGUUUCUACUUUGGUAUUGGAGGUCUUUGCAGCUUCACACCUGCUCCUCUUUGUUCAUUAGCUGGAUCUCAGUGUUAUGCUUGGUUCCACUCGGCGUGAUAAGUUAUCUAUCGCUGAGGACACUGUAAAAGGUGGCCAAGGUAAAUGCAGAUGAACCGCUUCUAAUAGUCCAUUGACUUGGACAAUACUUUUAUGAUCUGAUCUCAACUCAGGUAGGACUACCCGCUGAACUUACGC
This 378-nucleotide unclassified non-coding RNA is filed under the name plant metagenome. RNAcentral's name for it is "partial contains 5.8S ribosomal RNA, internal transcribed spacer 2, and large subunit ribosomal RNA". The stretch from base 1 to 105 matches the Rfam family "5.8S ribosomal RNA", at positions 50 to 154 of the family's 154-position model. The record is from RNAcentral.